UUAAAUUCAAACCCGAAUUAUCUUAUUAAGGUGGAAGAGCUCAUUUAUUUCACCACACUCCUUUAUCAAAUGGCAAUAUCAAAAUGAAAAAGGUUACAAUACAUUGAUGGCUAAUUGGACACUCUUAGCGCAAACUGGAAGUAGCUUUUCUUCAUAUUUUUUUCCUUAUCUUCUUUUGUUGGAGCAUGAAUUGUUUGAUGAAGUGCUCUUGCUUAUCAUUAAUAAAAAUACUAAACAUUCUAAUUACAAAUACUACCAAAAAACACAUACACAAG
Molecule: long non-coding RNA, 275 nt
Filed under: Capsicum annuum
Lineage: Eukaryota; Viridiplantae; Streptophyta; Magnoliopsida; Solanales; Solanaceae
Description: long non-coding RNA (CANN_LNC012728)
Source: RNAcentral